This 292-nucleotide ribosomal RNA is filed under the name uncultured bacterium. RNAcentral's name for it is "partial 16S ribosomal RNA". It matches the Rfam family "Bacterial small subunit ribosomal RNA", at positions 505 to 796 of the family's 1533-position model. The record is from RNAcentral.
GUGCCAGCAGCCGCGGUAAUACGGAGGGUGCGAACGUUAAUCGGAAUUACUGGGCGUAAAGCGCACGUAGGCGGUUCGCUAAGUGGGAUGUGAAAGCCCUGGGCUUAACCUGGGAAUUGCAUUUCAGACUGACGAACUAGAGUACGGUAGAGGGCGGUGGAAUUCCCUGUGUAGCGGUGAAAUGCGUAGAUAUAGGGAGGAACAUCAGUGGCGAAGGCGGCCGCCUGGACUGAUACUGACGCUGAGGUGCGAAAGCGUGGGGAGCAAACAGGAUUAGAUACCCCUGUAGUCC